This 1373-nucleotide long non-coding RNA is filed under the name Marmota monax (woodchuck). Lineage: Eukaryota; Metazoa; Chordata; Mammalia; Rodentia; Sciuridae. The record is from RNAcentral.
UCUCAGGGACACAGAGCAGGCCUGCUGGUUCCCAGGGCACAUCCCAUAGCGUCUCCUCCCCUCCUCCUACAGCUAUCCACACUGGGACACCCAGGUCCUCCACAAUGAGCUCUGCGACCUCAAUCCUCACCUCCACCCUGCCAAGAACGACACAUGCAUGGAGAACAGGCUCCCCACCCAUCACCAGAGCACAUCCCAGGACCACUGCCCAGGAUCACAACAGCCUGGAUACUUCCUGGGUUGCUCCCACUCCACACACAAGUCAUGUGUCCACGAACACUGCAGUGACCCCUGCAGGAACCACCAAACCGAGAACCCAGGCACACUCCUCUGCCUCUCCACAAUCACUUCCUUCCCAGGAGACCACAGCACAGUGGACAGUCAGCCCAGGGUCACAGACGUAUCCGCACUCACACUCCACCCUUCUUGGGAGCACUUCCUCUCACACUCCAUUAUCUCCAAGAAACCCACCUUUACAAGAAAGCAGCCCUGCAGAAUCCACAAAGGUGACCCUGGUCAGUGCCUCCAAGAAACUUGGAUCCUCCUCCCCAAAACCAUCCACUCCCCACUGGCCUGGGACUCUAGCCCCCAUCUUCCUCACCACCGAGGACGACGUCCCUACCUUCCCCAACACAGUCCCACAAGCUGUCAGCCAGGCAGUCUCCACUGAGGCUGGCAGUAGGACCAUCAUGCAGGAGGUGUCCAAGGACCUCACACCAAACACAAGAUCUGCACCUCCACAGAGGGCAAUAACCAGCGUGGAAACCACCAGGUCUCAACCACAAUCCCUUCCAUCACCCUCCACUGGGUCACAACCCACCAUGACCACCACGGCAUCCAAGAUCCUUUCCACUGUCACAAAGUCUAUUGCAACCUCAGAGAAGGCCACCACUUCCAGCAGAACUUCUGGUCUAGUGCCACCUGAAAGCACCCUUUUUGAGAAUCCAAGACACCCUGUAAGUUCUCUGGGGACAUCCCCUGUUGGAUCAUCCCCUCCUAUUACACCUCUCAACACUGGGUCACCCAGAACCAUCUCACCAGGCCCUAGGUUCUCAGACCUCACCACCCCCCAGCCAGGAAUCAUGCAGACAUCGAGGAUAAGCUCUCCACCCAUCUCCAGCCUGCAUGUGAGGACCACCACCCAGGCACAGAAGACCCUGGACACUGACCUGACCACUCACACUCCACCAACAAGUCAAGUUUCCAUGGAAGAGGCAGUGACCAGUGAAGUGACCACAUCUGGACCCCAAGAACAGUUCCCUGCCUCCACAGGGUCACAUCCUUCACUCAAAAGCCCUACACAGUGGGAAUUCAGCACUGGGUCCCAGAUGCCUUCACGCUCAACAAACACCCCUCUGAGGAGCAUUUCCUCU